This 258-nucleotide ribosomal RNA is filed under the name uncultured bacterium. RNAcentral's name for it is "partial 16S ribosomal RNA". It matches the Rfam family "Bacterial small subunit ribosomal RNA", at positions 524 to 777 of the family's 1533-position model. The record is from RNAcentral.
UACGGAGGGUGCGAGCGUUGUCCGGAAUCAUUGGGCGUAAAGGGCGCGUAAGUGGCCCGGUCAGUUCGUGGUGAAAGCGCGGGGCUCAACCCUGCGUCGGCCUGAAUACUGCCGCGGCUGGAGCACUGUAGAGGCAGGCGGAAUUCCGGGAUGGUAGCGGUGGAAUGCGUAGAGAUCCGGAAGAACACCGGUGGCGAAGGCGGCCUGCUGGGGCAGUUGCUGGACACUGAGGCGCGACAGCGUGGGGAGCAAACAGGG